Non-coding RNA from Phascolarctos cinereus (koala), 1055 nucleotides. NCBI's taxonomy places the organism in Eukaryota, Metazoa, Chordata, Mammalia, Diprotodontia, Phascolarctidae. The record is from RefSeq and is a predicted model, not a curated record.
ACCUCAGCAGAAAUACUCUCAGAAAGAUGAUAUUACUAUCUGCUUCUGCUUCUAGGUUCUGUUGGAGAAAGUUGUGGAAGAAGAGAGGAUUUCAGGCAAAUAAAGAGAAGCCAACUGUAAUGUGAAUUGUUGGGGGCUUGGACUGCUGUUUUUUCCCUUCAUUUGUGUAGCACAGUGCCUGGCACAUAUUCCAGGGCACUCUGUGUGAAGAAUGAGUACGGACCUCAGUCUGACAUACACCAUCACAAUGAAGAAGCGCUGAGAAGCACAAGGGCAAACAUCAUGGGUGCCAUAUAUGUCCUAACCUCAACUAGUUUCUCCCCUGAGCCCUCUUAACACAUACUCUGUGUGCCACCAUGCCCUCUCACAAUGUCAAGAAUAAGCAUUAGGAUUUUCCACAUACAUCAGUCCCCUUCCUAUCAUCUGGUACCCUCAGAUAAACAUUCUCCAUUUCCAACCAUUUCAACUGUUUCCUCCCUCUGCACCCCUAUGACAUUUGCAUGUUGAAAAACAUUAUAUUAGUCACACAAAAGGAAAAGCAAGUGAUAUAUAGAGAUUCUAUGUUCCUUUACAAGAAAAAAAAUUCCAAGAGAAAUCCUGUCCCCUCCCCCAGAAAUAACAAACAGUAUUGAGUACUUAAGGAAGUCCUGUCUACCUCUGACUUGUGCAGCAGCCUUGCUGUUCAUAUGAUCCUGACCUAGUGAAUUGAAUCCCACAUUUUGUCAAGGAAAUUAAGACUCAGAAAGUUGAAGUAACUUUCUCAAAGUGGCAGAACUGGAAUGAGAACGCAGUUCUUGUGACCCCUGAUCUUCUAGGUAUGUGCCCAGAAUUCAAGAGCCCAAUUUCAUGGAGAGAGUUCCAAGCUUCAAGAAGCAAUGAUACAACUUGGGCCUAAGGUCACCUGUCUGUCAUGGAAGGGAAAAUUGGACCUCAUCAGAUAGAGUUGUCAGUUUCAUAAAUAUUCAGAGACGCUACUCUACACAUAGCAGACUUGGUCUAAAGGACCUUGCCAACCGGUCGGGAUAAAAAAUAAUAUUAAUCAAUUAAUAGUAAUA